GUCUUCAUGUCUGAACACGGCGUGCUGCAGUUGACAGACGGCUGUACUCACAUUUCUACCUGCCAGGUGAGACACGGAAAAAUGGCCUGUCCUCGCUGCUUAUUGCGCUCACCUUUCUUCAGUACCUAAACCAUCAGAUGAUUCCCACCAGGACAGGAUCCUUUUACAGCAGUUCAGUUGCCCACAUAGCUGGAAACUUUGCCUGGGAAUUUCUCAGCUUUAAAAUUUCAGUCAUUGUUUCUGGUCGUGUGUGUGACGUGCAUCCACAUCUAAAAAUGGGAGAGAGAUCCACAGUGGGAGGACUGAGUGGAUGCUUGUGAGGGUUUUCAACAAAAUCAGCUCAGAUAAUGUGUAAUCUGCCUGUUUGCUGCUGGUUUUAUUUAGUAAAUCUUCUCUGGAAGCUACAAAGCAGCAGCCUCAUGGCAGUAGGCCUCAUCCUCUUGUAGAUCUGAAACCCUAAAAAUCCAGUGUGCAUUUCAGAUGUUAUUAAAACUACAAGACAUCGAGAAGUGAAGCUGAAAUCCUGUCUGAGCUCAGCGGCAGCAAAACACAUUUUGUUCAGAGAUGUUAAACCUGCGACAAUUCACUUGUCAUAGCCCACAGGAGGGCACGGCAGUGGUGUUACCACAUGCACACAAACCUCCAGUAAUGUCAGGUAUGUUGGUGAACCAGCUCCACUUAUCCGUUCUCACAUGAUGGGCGUCAGCUCUGUACUUUCCUUGAGCGGUGGCUCAAUUUAAUUAAAAUUCUGACAGAGGGGGGAAAAGUACUUCCAGCAAAUGAUGGCAGCAAACAGCUCAUACAAGGAAAUAGUUGAGCGCAUUUGCACACAUUUCCAUUCUGUUUGGAGAGAUGCAUAAAGGACAGAAGUGUUUUUCUCCGUUUUAUUAAAGGCUCUUACUAGUGCAAAUGUUAUUUGCACUAAUACAAACAUUGUUUUACAAUUGUUUUCUGUAAUUGAUGAAAUAAACUCACCACCAUUAAUGUC
Long non-coding RNA from Xiphophorus maculatus (southern platyfish), 988 nucleotides. RefSeq lists it as uncharacterized. The record is from RefSeq and is a predicted model, not a curated record. The transcript has 2 exons. Lineage: Eukaryota; Metazoa; Chordata; Actinopteri; Cyprinodontiformes; Poeciliidae.